RNAcentral lists this ribosomal RNA (447 nucleotides) under uncultured bacterium. Its description in RNAcentral is "partial 16S ribosomal RNA". It matches the Rfam family "Bacterial small subunit ribosomal RNA", at positions 330 to 793 of the family's 1533-position model. The record is from RNAcentral.
CCCAGACUCCUACGGGAGGCAGCAGUGGGGGAUAUUGCACAAUGGGGGGAACCCUGAUGCAGCGACGCCGCGUGGGUGAAGGAGCGUUUCGGCGCGUAAAGCCCUAUCGGCAGGGAAGAAGGAGGACGGUACCUGACUAAGAAGCCCCGGCUAACUACGAGCCAGCAGCCGCGGUAAUACGUAGGGGGCAAGCGUUAUCCGGAUUUACUGGGUGUAAAGGGGGCGCAGACGGCAGCGCAAGCCAGGAGUGAAAGCCCGGGGCCCAACCCCGGGACUGCUCUUGGAACUGCGCGGCUGGAGUGCAGGAGGGGCAGGCGGAAUUCCUGGUGUAGCGGUGAAAUGCGUAGAUAUCAGGAGGAACACCGGUGGCGAAGGCGGCCUGCUGGACUGCGACUGACGUUGAGGCUCGAAAGCGUGGGGAGCAAACAGGAUUAGAUACCCGUGUAC